CGGCCCUGGGCCAGUGCCAGCGGUGCGACCGCACUGGGCCUCAGGAAUUAGGGGGCCUCCAAAAAUUAGUGUGCUAAUAGGCCUCACAAGUAUCAACUAAGCCCAGUUAGUCACAAGUAGGCCUGUUAAAGAGGAAGAUCGAUCGAUCGACUCCGCCGUCCAUCCGGCUGCCCUCCUCGUUGCGCCUCCUGCCCUCCUCGACUUCUUCGCGUCGCGACUCGCGAGACGCUCGGUCACCGGCCGCCGCGCAAUCUGCAGAUCACUGCCGCUGCUAGCUUGUGCCCGAUUGCCAAUUUGCCAUUGCCGAUCAAAUUUGUAGGGUCACCCAAUCAAAUCACAUGUCUUCCAGUAGAAAGUUUGCAUCCGGCAGUGAGAAAAGAAGAAAAAAGAAACGUCAAGAUGAGUUGAUUCAAUCACAGAAAGGUGCUAUGGACAAAUUUAUUCAGAAAAAGAAACCAGACCCUUCAACGAACUGUUAGAAGAAAUUGUUUUAAAUGAUCUAGAGACAUUUCUCUUUUGUAUUUUAAACUUGUUAGUGUGAGAUUGGUUAAUGACACUGAAUUUUUCAAUAUUAUCUUGUAUUUUUAUGG
Molecule: long non-coding RNA, 590 nt
Organism: Panicum virgatum (switchgrass)
Lineage: Eukaryota; Viridiplantae; Streptophyta; Magnoliopsida; Poales; Poaceae
Exons: 2
Source: RefSeq, a predicted model, not a curated record